UGGCGACCGGCGCACGGGUGAGUAACACGUAUCCAACCUGCCGAUAACUCGGGGAUAGCCUUUCGAAAGAAAGAUUAAUAUCCGAUAGCAUAUCAAGAUCGCAUGAUCUUGAUAUUAAAGAAUUUCGGUUAUCGAUGGGGAUGCGUUCCAUUAGUUAGUUGGCGGGGUAACGGCCCACCAAGACAACGAUGGAUAGGGGUUCUGAGAGGAAGGUCCCCCACAUUGGAACUGAGACACGGUCCAAACUCCUACGGGAGGCAGCAG
RNAcentral lists this ribosomal RNA (264 nucleotides) under uncultured bacterium. RNAcentral's name for it is "partial 16S ribosomal RNA". It matches the Rfam family "Bacterial small subunit ribosomal RNA", at positions 89 to 354 of the family's 1533-position model. The record is from RNAcentral.